This 245-nucleotide ribosomal RNA is filed under the name uncultured bacterium. RNAcentral's name for it is "partial 16S ribosomal RNA". It matches the Rfam family "Bacterial small subunit ribosomal RNA", at positions 524 to 768 of the family's 1533-position model. The record is from RNAcentral.
UACAGAGGUCCCAAGCGUUGUUCGGAUUCACUGGGCGUAAAGGGUGCGUAGGUGGUGAGGUAAGUCGGAUGUGAAAGCUCGGAGCUCAACUCCGAAAUGGCAUUGGAAACUACCUUGCUCGAGGGUUGGAGGGGGGACUGGAAUACUUGGUGUAGCAGUGAAAUGCGUAGAUAUCAAGUGGAACACCAGUGGCGAAGGCGAGUCCCUGGACAACUCCUGACACUGAGGCACGAAAGCUAGGGGAG